AUUGUAUGGUUAAGUGACUAAGCGCACAAGGUGGAUGCCUUGGCAAUCAGAGGCGAAGAAGGACGUGCUAAUCUGCGAAAAGCUUGGAUGAGUUGAUAAGAAGCGUUUAAUCCAAGAUAUCCGAAUGGGGAAACCCGAUAGGUGAAGAACCUAUCAUCGUGACUUGAAUACAUAAAGUAACGAAGCAAACCGGGAGAACUGAAACAUCUAAGUACCCCGAGGAAAAGAAAUCAACCGAGAUUCUGUAAGUAGCGGCGAGCGAAAGCGGAAGAGCCAGUAAGUGAUAACAAUAAUAUUAG
RNAcentral lists this ribosomal RNA (299 nucleotides) under Tessaracoccus sp. OH4464_COT-324. RNAcentral's name for it is "partial 23S ribosomal RNA". It matches the Rfam family "Bacterial large subunit ribosomal RNA", at positions 1 to 292 of the family's 2925-position model. The record is from RNAcentral. Lineage: Bacteria; Bacillati; Actinomycetota; Actinomycetes; Propionibacteriales; Propionibacteriaceae.